RNAcentral lists this ribosomal RNA (389 nucleotides) under uncultured bacterium. RNAcentral's name for it is "bacterial SSU rRNA". It matches the Rfam family "Bacterial small subunit ribosomal RNA", at positions 28 to 417 of the family's 1533-position model. The record is from RNAcentral.
GACGAACGCUGGCGGCGUGCUUAACACAUGCAAGUCGAGCGGUAAGGCCCUUUCGGGGGUACACGAGCGGCGAACGGGUGAGUAACACGUGGGUGACCUGCCCUCAGCUCUGGGAUAAGCCUGGGGAAACUGGGUCUAAUACUGGAUAUGACUCCACGGUGCAUGUCGUGGGGUGGAAAGCCUUGUGCGGCUGAGGAUGGGCCCGCGGCCUAUCAGCUUGUUGGUGGGGUGAUGGCCUACCAAGGCGACGACGGGUAGCCGGCCUGAGAGGGCGACCGGCCACACUGGGACUGAGACACGGCCCAGACUCUUACGGGAGGCAGCAGUGGGGAAUCUUGCGCAAUGGGCGAAAGCCUGACGCAGCGACGCCGCGUGAGGGAUGACGGCCU